This 873-nucleotide long non-coding RNA is filed under the name Brassica rapa (field mustard). RNAcentral describes it as "long non-coding RNA (BRAP_LNC004166)". The record is from RNAcentral. Lineage: Eukaryota; Viridiplantae; Streptophyta; Magnoliopsida; Brassicales; Brassicaceae.
UGCAUUGGACGACUUUUCAUACUCUUUACUUUUACAUUUCAUUAUAAUAUUCAUUUGUCGCGUAAUCAGCAAACUUGGAUCUAAUCCGUGAUCAAUUCGUUUUUUAGAUGAUUAAUUUAACAUGCUGAGAUGUGAUUUUUUAUUUCAAUUUGGUUCGACUUUAGAUCAGUUCGGUUGAUAGAACUCAGAUAUCUUCGGUUACAUACAUGCAUAUCAACAAAUCAAACUAAGGGUUGAUGAGUGGGAAAUGCUUCUGGAUUUUAACACAGCUGAUACGCCGUUUGUAUUUGUGGAGAAUAUAUAAGCAUAUUCACGCGUAAUUUAAGACCAACAACAGUUGGACACUCUUCACGUUAGAUUGGCACAGACAACGUGGACUUGCUGCCCCCUUCUUUCUGGUUUCCUCCUUGUUUUGUAAUAAGUAUUUCUUUGCUUUUCUUUUUGAGUUCUUUAUUUUCCAUUUUUAACUUUAUUAGUACUGUUUUUUUUCUUUACUUUAAAACACAUAACAACAAAAACGUGGUCGACGGAACAAUGUGGAUUGUGGAGCUGUCUUUGACUGAGACCCACUCACAGUUUAUUAACGCCGUGAAGAUUUCCUUCGUUCUAUUCAAAAAAAAAAAGAUUUCAUUCAUUUACGUUUUUAUCAGUUGGACGAUAGUAUCCUUGGACGUAUGCAUAUACUAUAAGGUCAUAUUUGUUUGUUGGAUGAGGAUCUGAUUAGGUCUCAAAUCAACCUGUAAUAUUGAUUUAAUGGACGACAACACCAAAUUCAUUUUCGCUUCCUUCAUUGUAUUGUUAUUCUUCGUUACGUUCUGUUAUAUUUUUUUUUCUUGUCAAGAUUGUUGAAUUCAAUUAUAAUAUGAUUCAUGG